AUAACACUUAGAAAUAGGUGCUAAUACCGCGUAAGCGCACAGAGCCGCAUGGCUCAGUGUGAAAAACUCCGGUGGUGUAAGAUGGAUCCGCGUCUGAUUAGCUGGUUGGCGGGGUAGAAGCCCACCAAGGCGACGAUCAGUAGCCGGCCUGAGAGGGUGAACGGCCACAUUGGGACUGAGACACGGCCCAAACUCCUACGGGAGGCAGCAGUGGGGAAUAUUGCACAAUGGGGGAAACCCUGAUGCAGCAACGCCGCGUGAGUGAAGAAGUCAUUCGUGAUGUAAAGCUCUAUCAGCAGGGAAGAAAAUGACGGUACCUGAGUAAGAAGCCCCGGCUAACUACGUGCCAGCAGCCGCGGUAAUACGUAGGGGGCAAGCGUUAUCCGGAUUUACUGGGUGUAAAGGGAGCGUAGACGGCCAGACAAGUCUGAAGUGAAAAUCCAGCGCUUAACGUUGGAAGUGCUUUGGAAACUGCCGGGCUAGAGUGCAGGAGGGGCAGGCGGAAUUCCUAGUGUAGCGGUGAAAUGCGUAGAUAUUAGGAGGAACACCAGUGGCGAAGGCGGCCUGCUGGACUGCAACUGACGUUGAGGCUCGAAGGCGUGGGGAGCAAACAGGAUUAGAUACCCUGGUAGUCCACGCGGUAAACGAUGAUUACUAGGUGUCGGGGGGCUAGAGCCCUUCGGUG
RNAcentral lists this ribosomal RNA (685 nucleotides) under uncultured bacterium. RNAcentral describes it as "bacterial SSU rRNA". It matches the Rfam family "Bacterial small subunit ribosomal RNA", at positions 143 to 845 of the family's 1533-position model. The record is from RNAcentral.